Amblyraja radiata (thorny skate) is the source of this 5011-nucleotide long non-coding RNA. RefSeq lists it as uncharacterized. Lineage: Eukaryota; Metazoa; Chordata; Chondrichthyes; Rajiformes; Rajidae. The record is from RefSeq and is a predicted model, not a curated record. The transcript has 14 exons.
UUGACGGUUGGUGCGGGCUGUUUCUUUACUUUGAUACGGGAAUGUUCUUAUGGCCCUUAAAGGGUUAACGUCGAACCCGUCGUGAAACCUAAGCGCCUGCAAAAAAAAGGGAAGAAACCAUCGUGAAGGUUAGCGAGGGAGAGUGAAUCACAGGAGUGAAGAGGACAACGAGCAUAGAAGAGGCUAAACGGGUGGCAGCUCUUUGGUGUUUGCGUUGACAUCACGGCCCCACGUCUGACCUGCUGUGCUUGUGGCAGUGUCCGGAGCAUUACAAGCCAUUUACUGCUGUGAACUGAUGUUUACAUGCCUGACUUAUCACAGAGCAUGCUUAACGGACAGGACACACAGCUACUCCAAUGGGAAAAAAAAAAGCACGUCAGGAAAUAAAUUUGAGAUUAGGGACUGAGGCCGUAAAAUAGAAGAGAACUGUUACAGUUUUUAUUAUUUACUUUCACAGGAAGAGUAAGGAUUAACAACCCCAGAGCCUGCAAAAGGUGAGGAUUGGUCCUCCGGACUCUGCUGGCUGCGAAUCCCCCAGAAGCAAUGUCAGGAACCAGAACUGUUGCUGAGCACCGGGCCAUAUCCAGUGUGGCAAGAAAAUAGACUGAGCUCAAUGAAAAGCAGCAAAAUAGAUCUUUUCAAAGAAGGAAUAAAACUAAACAAAAAAAACAUCUCUUUGCGAAGAGGGAAUGCAAGAGGGGAAGUUUAAAAAAAGCAGAGCAACCUGUGGAAUCGAGGACUCCAAUAGCAAGUCCAGAGAUCUUUGGCAGACAAAACAAUGGGAAGGAGAUGAGAAGCCCUGCCGAGGUGCCUCAGCAGGCUAUAGCUGAGCCUGAUUUAAUUACUCUCCAACGCUACCCCAAAAUGCCGACAGUCCCCAUGCCAAUUAGGCAGCGAAAGAUAAACCUGUCGAUAAAGGUGACCUGGUCACGUCAGCGGGAGAGGCGGCUCGCAGGAUAGCUCGUGAUCAGGGUGAAUCAGACGAUAUCAAGCACUUGCUACGAUGACCCUGCCUGUUUCUGCUCAGAACACUUUCCCCAUCUGCCAGAAAUAGAGAAGCUUUGAAAGAGAAGUACAAAGAAGAGAAUGCACAACAGAAUGAGGUUUCCUCAGAAAAUCCAGAUGAAAAUCAAAAUCCGCUGAGAAUACAGAAGAUCAUUGAUGACAGAAGAAUCUUCUGCGGCAGGAUGAUUGGCAUUCUUAGGAGGAAGACCAGAGGAGAAGAGGGGUUUGAGGAGAGAUGGCAAAGAUGAAGAGAGGAUUCCAUCACGAUGCAGUCCCUCGGGAUCAAAGAUGACUUGCUUCCACUCUGGCCUUGAGGAUCGGAAGAUGCUAUCUUGCAACAUGGGAGAUUGGUGUACACAGCAUUGACAGACCAAAGACCUGGGCCAUUGACACUCAAACUUGUGGUGUUGCUUUCUUCUCAGAAUGUCAAGGAAUAAGUCAAACCAUCUACAAAAAUAUGGAAAUGUGCUGAGUGGUAGCGAUGGUAAUCUUCCUGGAGGAGGCCCUUCACUUCUUUGAGUGUGCGAUGCCUUUUUGGACCACAAACUCCAGAGGUUUGGCCUUGAAAGGCAAGACGCCGUCUCCUGAGGCAUCGACGCCCUAUGCCAGGAAUUGAAGCUGGGAGCCAACAGACGUCCCUACAUACAUACAAGAGCAGCCAGAUUGCAAUGUUGGUGUUUUGAGUUCAAUGUCUUCCUCUGAUCUGAUUCACCAAAGAUGCUACAGUUAUAGGAACAGUUUUGUUCCAAAUCUCCAGCCAAGAAAUUUGAUUCAGGACAAAUCAGUGAGUAAGAAAUAAUUUCACAAAUAGGAUCGGGUUACUUGGACUAGUUUGGUCACUGCUCCAUCUGCAUUCCAGCUAAAGCUUGGUUUUGGGAUCAGCGGACAAAAUCGAGGAAUACAAAGUGGGAAGAAAUUGCAGGAUUUUCACUUACUACCAUUUUUAACGCAAGUUUAGUACUUUGCUAAGCCUUGACCUGGAAUCGUUUCCUCCUCGAAUCUUAAAGGUUUGAAGUGGACUUGAUCUAAUCUGGGAGUGUUGUGUGCUUUUACCAAGAACAAAAACAUGGGUUCACGCACAUUUUAGGAAAGAAACAACUGAACUGUUUAACACUGUUUUACGUUCAAUUUUACACACCAUUUAUUCUCCAUCCCUCAUCGAGUGAUACAGUUUGGAAACGGGCCCUUCAGCCCAACUUGCCCGCACCAGCCAACAUGUCCCAUCUACACUAGUCCCAGUUGCCUGCCUUUGGUCCAUAUCCCUCCAAACCUGUCCUAUCCACCAUUGGCCCCAAGAAAAGGAAAAACACGAACAAGGUUGGUGGGAAGGGAAUCAGACAUAGGUCUGACUGUGUUAGGAUGAUGGGUUUUCUUCCCGUGGGCAAUAUUAGUGAACAUGUUUGUUUUUGCAACAAUGUCGUGAAGGUAUUGUCAUCAUAGAUGGAUUUAAAUUGGAAUCCAAUUUUAAAAUGUCAUAGUGAGACUUGAAAUCCCUGGAUUAUUAGUGUAGGUGAUAAUAUUAUGAAUCUAAAAAUUGAAUCACUAUCUAUGCCUUCAUAUUACAACUGCAUUUGUAAAUGUUUUUUCUGCAUCUCUAUCCUUUUCCAGUCUAUAGGCUUUUGAAAUGCGCUUGCUUGUCAUCUGGCAUCUGCAGUUCUUCUUUGACUCAUGUUUUUCUCCCUCAGUCUUAUCUGGGUUCCUCUUUACUGACGAUGCAAAAUGGAUGUUUCCACUAAAACUGAUGUUCCAAGGCACGGAAGAUCUGUCCAAACAUGUCAGACUAGUAUAGCCCAAGGUGUGGGACUAUGCACUGAGUGACACACUGAAGCUCGAUGAAGCCAUUGUAAUGGCUCCAUGAGAAUAGGCUUAAGGAUUAGAGCACUUCCAUCAUUGAAAACCAAAGGACAGGAGCCUAUGUAAGAACCUCUUUGACGUAUUACUAGUGAAUUGAAUGUGAAAGGACUGCUCUAAACACAGUGAUUAACAUUUAUAUGGGUUGCAAAUAUUUGUUGUGUUUUUACCCCCAAAAUGUAUACAAUUUGCAACAUACUCUACAUUCAUAUGCAAACAUUCACAACACAAGACGUAUUCUAUUUCCUUAUAAGAUUUACAGUUUAUCAUUGGGACAUUAAUUUUUCUUUCACCUACAUUCCACGUCUGAGAGGUUCUUGCACAUGGUCUUGCACAGCUCUUCAGUUUGCAAUGACAGAAAAGUGCUGAGCCUUAAACCUUUCAUUGUGAAGCCUUUGCAAAGACUGUACCAAACUUCAGUGCGUCCCUCGUCACGUUGGACUAGACUUCUCCGCAACAUUUGGCCGCGGCCAGCUGCCUGCCUUGAAACACCACUAGGUUUCAGACAGUAAGAUGCACCAUUCACCAAGUUGAUUAACUUUCUUGCAGCAAUUGAACCUACUUGAGUCCGUGUCCUCAGGAACAGUCACAUAGUGCACAAACUAUCACGUGAUGGAGCUGGGUGGGAUGAAUCUUGACAAAGACCACUAAAUCCCUUUCCAGAUCUUCUUAGACAAAUACCUCAUCGGGAAGGAGAUAGAUGACCAUCACGCAUGUGUUUGAGACCAAUUGAGCAUGAAGGAUCUGAGAGGAAGGGCCCAUCUUAAUAUCAGCUGAGCAAUAUUAUGGUCCUUGUUUGAAACUUCUACUGAUGAAAGUUUCUGCCAAGUGACUUUGACGGUCUAUUUUGGGAACCAUGACAAAGCAUCCACCAUCUCCUUUUCCCUCAAGGAUAUUCCACGCAGAACACUGUCUGAUUGACUGGCAGUCCAUGUGUGCUUAUGCACCAGCUGUUGUGCAAGGGACAGGUGGGACUGCAUGGUCCAGCAAAAAGGAACAACCUACUGCUAUAUGGCCACAAUCUCCUUAACAAUGAGGGCAGGGAGAACCUCAACACCUAGGUUAGAUGACCUGGAAAAGGUGGCAAUAUGGUUUGGAGGAGUGAGGGAAUGCAGCUAGAAUGGAACCUAUUAAUUUCCAGGGAGUCAGGGAGAAGUGUAACCAGUGUCUCCCUCAGCAGCCAUUUCUCAUCUCUAGCUGAUAGAACUGCAGCACAGACAUGCAGCGGGACAUGGAGCAACACUGAGAACAGCUCACACUCAUUCAUCUGAUUCAUUCCCACUAUUGAGAGGGGCGGUGCUCCCAAAACCACAUUCCCAGUUGCACCUUGAUGAAUGGGCUCCAUGCGAUAUGCAUGUCCUUGGUCUGCAAACCAUCCUGCCAGCAUUUUCAGGCAAUCGGACCCGACAGCGAAGAGAAUAAAGGAUCAGAGAGACCAGUUGCCAAAGAACAUUUUCUUGCUUUUGUUAGAAUUCACUUUAGCCCCAGAGGCCUGAUCAGACUGGUCAUCAGUCUGCAGACCAACAGUGGAUCUGAGCAGAGGAGGAUGUCAACUGCACUUUGAUCUGAGGGUCUCCAUGGCCUGGGAUCAAUACCACUCCAAUGCCACAUCCUUCCAUUCAUCAAAGGCAAUAUGACAGAUGAACCAGAUAGUCUUGCAUUGUUACCUUGAUCAGAAGGUACUUACUGCUUUAAACCAGCAGAUGGCAAUUGGGAGCCUAGAACCAUACACCAGUCGACCAAGACAAUUCUUGCUACCCCUCUAGGCUUUAUCUCCUGCUUCAAUAUCUGGUUGGUAAAAAUGGUUAUUAAGUUUAAUGAAAAAAUAUUUAUUAGUUAUUAGGGGUGAGAAAAGACCUCAUUGGAUAUUGAAGAGAACUCGUUAUGAUUGACUUUGGGAAGAUGGGGUGCGGCCAAGAAUGAGAAUGUGAGGCCAGUGCAAUGUGAGGUCACAUGUUGAUACCCAACAUUCAUCCAAAGUAACCAAUGGGGCGUUUCUGAAUGUAGACAAUGCUGAUGUCACUGAAGCACAAAGUGUGAACCAGAGUAGGCAGGCCGCAACUUGCCACAGGCUCUGCCGUUGGUCCAGGACUACAAAUUCUCCUGGCAGUUUCAUAGACAUAGGUGUUUAAGAAGGAACUGCAGAUGCUGGAAA